Long non-coding RNA from Prionailurus viverrinus (fishing cat), 300 nucleotides. RefSeq lists it as uncharacterized. The transcript has 3 exons. Lineage: Eukaryota; Metazoa; Chordata; Mammalia; Carnivora; Felidae. The record is from RefSeq and is a predicted model, not a curated record.
CGUGUGGGCUGAAGCAGCGGCAACCACCGACAUCCGCGAACCCUACUACGGUCCGGACACCGGAGAGGGGCCAACGUGAUGUCAUCCAGUCUUCACAGCAGCCGCCAACAGCGAGACUCAUGGACACGCUGGGGGAGAAGAUUCCUUCCCGUCCACUCCUUCCUUCCACAUAUGGAAGCUCAGGCAGAGAGAAGUCAAGUCGCUUGCCCAAGGAAUAGGAGCUCCAGAGGACUGAGCCUCGUGCCCCUAGAUGCACAGCCAGCUGGCAAGCGGCUGAGUCUUAGCACUGGAAAGGACUCA